GCGCACCACGCUGGAGACCGGGAUGUCUCCUCAGGCACUGAGGGGGGUCGGUGCCUGGGAUCUUGCGUUACCUGCGAGGGAGCAGCUGGAGCCUUGCGUCCUGGCAUUUUUGUCUGAAGAAACAUUCCAGCAUGUGGAGGCAAGUGUGCCGACAGCAGGUUUGCUGUGCACUAAGUCCUGCAAUGACCACGUGGGUCCAUGGAUUAUAGUCCUGCUUGGUCCACUGGGCGAAGAACUCUAGUCACAGCUCCCUGCUUCCCCGAUAGCCAUUGCAGUGCUCUGACCACGGGGCCAUAGCAACACUCUUUCCAGGGAUCUACAGUGCUAGGUCAGA
RNAcentral lists this long non-coding RNA (334 nucleotides) under Fukomys damarensis (Damara mole-rat). RNAcentral describes it as "lncRNA (ENSFDAG00000031210.1)". The record is from RNAcentral. Lineage: Eukaryota; Metazoa; Chordata; Mammalia; Rodentia; Bathyergidae.